This 301-nucleotide ribosomal RNA is filed under the name uncultured bacterium. Its description in RNAcentral is "partial 16S ribosomal RNA". It matches the Rfam family "Bacterial small subunit ribosomal RNA", at positions 509 to 807 of the family's 1533-position model. The record is from RNAcentral.
CAGCCGCCGCGGGAAUACGUAGGGUGCGAGCGUUAAUCGGAAUUACUGGGCGUAAAGCGUGCGCAGGCGGUUUUGUAAGACAGGCGUGAAAUCCCCGGGCUCAACCUGGGAAUGGCGCUUGUGACUGCAAAGCUAGAGUGCGGCAGAGGGGGAUGGAAUUCCGCGUGUAGCAGUGAAAUGCGUAGAUAUGCGGAGGGACACCGAUGGCGAAGGCAAUCCCCUGGACCUGCACUGACGCUCAUGCACGAAAGCGUGGGGAGCAAACAGGAUUAGAUACCCCCGUAGUCCCUGUCUCUUAUAC